GGGGGUUCCUUUCAGCUGUGAAAAUGAAGCCUGCUUCCCAUGAGCUGGAAUUCUGAACUCUCAGAGGAGUUUGAUUUUACCUCAUGCAAAGACCCAGAAGUAAUGAUCAGAGAAGGACUGGAGCCAUGAUUGAAGGCUCAAAAGUUGUUGGCUUAGAUAUCCUUGGAGGCCCAAUAUUGCUGGUGGAGUUAUUCAGAGCUGCCUCCUCCUUCUUCGACUGCAUAGGCAAGGGGACCUAUGAUUGCCCUUGUUAUUGGCUUUUUCUGACUGGAUGCUUGGAGAAGAGCCUUCAUUCCCUUGAAACUUUGCUCAGGACACUGGUGGAAGAAGUUGAUGGCAUGGACCUAAGAGAAAGUGUUGAGUACCUGUAUUGCAGCUCACAUAUCAUCCUUAAGUCCUUAGAGUGAGCUGAGGACCCAGCAAGCACUUGAGAGCAAAGGGCAUGGCAUGUUCACAUCCAAGGCCUGAGAGUAACAGCAAGUGAGAUCUGGAAGGGCAGUGUGAAGAGGUUGGUAAGAGCAGGAGUGUUGAGGGUGCCUGUGAGAUAUGACAAGCCCAUAGUACAUGGUAAGCCCAUAAUCCAUGUGGUUUUGCAUUGGUCCCACUGUAAUCGGGGCAUGUUCUUUGUGUUGUCUUCACAGGGUUGCAUUCCCUUUCCAGUAUGGUCCAUGGAAAACAUGCAGAGGAAAUGGCCCCACAGCAUUGGCUGAGUGUUUAUGUCGUCCAACUGAGUCUCCAUCGAACUGUUGUGGUGUUGCUGACUUGCCCUAGGUCACCUGAGUUAAAUGGUAAGGAACAUGGGAAUUGCUGCAUGAAUUCUAGGUGCCCAGGUCUUGGUGGAGCAGGGAACGGCUGCCAUUGAUUAUGUCCAGGCCCUUCGGGACAUGGAGCAUGCCUAGGGCCUCUGGUUUCUCCCAUUUUUGGAGCUUCGGCCCAUUGUUCCCUGGCAGUGGAUUGUCAGUGUCCAGCAGUCCAUUGCUCUCCCCAAAGCCAGAGCAAUCCAGAGUACUGGAACCACUUGAUGCAAUGCACUCCAACGAGCUUGGAUCUAUGAUGAUUCCCAGUCAAACAUUCCUUGGAAAAGCUGAACAAAAUGAGUGAAAACUCUGUACCGCCACUCUCAUCGGAACUGAGGUCCAGCAUCUUGGGUCUCCCAGGUGCUAUGGGCGUCAGGCACAGGCUGCCCAAACACUCCAUUGUUCUUGACUUCUUCGGGCUCUAGCCAGACUCUCCAGAGACAGGUGUGUGCUUGGCCUACUCUGCCAAAAAUCCAUGGUGUAGGACACAGCAGGUCCUUAAGCACUGGUGGCUUGCUCCCUUUGCUGUAGUGGAGAUGCUUGGCAGAUACUCAGUAGGUAGUCAUGCUAGGUCCAAGGAGAGGGCCCCAGCCAUUGUGGAAAGUAGACUGUGAGGCAAAAGUAGCAGUGGCAGUGGCACCAAAUCUUGGCUUUUCACAUGGGAAUAUCAAGCAGUGGAGGCAGGCUUCUCAGAAGCACUUAUAUGAAUUUUAACCCUGUUGCAUUGCUUUAUGUAGUCAAUAGAAUGCAGGCUGCUGGUAGAGUGUAGCUUGACCCAGUAGCAUGUAAACGGGACUGUGUGACUGUUGUCGGUUCAGGUGGUGAACAGAAGGCUCUGUGUCCCUGGCAGCUUGGAAGUUUCCCGGGCGAUUGGCUAGGAAAUAGAGAAGGAGCUAAGCCUUGGAGGUGAUGGCAGGCACCUCACGGGUCAGUUUGCACCACAUUUACACACUUACCUGUGUCUGUAGAUGGAUGAAACUUUGAUGGACUCACUGGGAGCAUGAGACUUGCAGACCUGUGUCUCCAUAGAUUUGUUGAAAUAAUUUUUGUAGGAAUCUCCUCUUUGGUAGGUGCUGUUGCUUUGGAUGUUGUUGAAGGGAUAUCCUUGGUAUAUUUGGACCUUGUUGUCAGCCUCCUUGGCAAGGUCAAAGGGAAAGUCUAGGAACAGUUCUUGCACCCACAGCCUUAGGAGAACCAUCUUGGUGAGGGACCCUCUAUAUUAGAGACCAAGGUGUCAUGGGACCUUUCUUUUCGAUGUUUUGGCCUAACUCUUCUGGAAAGACAAGUUGCUAGUGUGCAUAGGAAGGAGGUUUCAACAGGGCACAUCGUGUUUUGCAAAUCCACCUUGAGAGCCAUGCUCAUGGGAAUCAUCAGGGAGAAAAUAAGUUCUUGGAUGCAGACUGCAUUUGACACACUAAGAUAACUUGAGUCAAGUCGGAUCCUGGCCUGUGAUAGUUCUACACAAUGGGAUUUUCAUUAGUGUGAGAAGCUGAGCAGUAUAGUCUGAGAACUUUUCAUCAGAAGAGAUCAAAGCAGGGGUGGAUGGCCAAAAGCAAUCUCAAGAGAGAGGUGGAAGUCUUCACAACAGACAAAAUGUGCACUGGACAUGUGGACAGAAAUAGGGACUGGCUGCCACAGCAAGGAAUGUCUCAGGGUAAAAGACACACACACACACACACACACACACACACACACACUAACACAGAGAGAGGGAGAGAGA
Molecule: long non-coding RNA, 2517 nt
Filed under: Mus musculus (house mouse)
Lineage: Eukaryota; Metazoa; Chordata; Mammalia; Rodentia; Muridae
Description: small nucleolar RNA host gene 14
Rfam family: Small nucleolar RNA SNORD116 (bases 1045-1138)
Source: RNAcentral